Molecule: long non-coding RNA, 609 nt
Organism: Lynx canadensis (Canada lynx)
Lineage: Eukaryota; Metazoa; Chordata; Mammalia; Carnivora; Felidae
Exons: 2
Source: RefSeq, a predicted model, not a curated record
GAGGAGGAGGAAAAGAAGGAGGAAGAGGAGGAGGAGGAGGAAGAGGAGGAGGAGGAGGAGAAAGUAGCUCUCAGCAGCCGGCCGGAUUAAAAGUAACCAGACUCGUCCAGAAAACUGCGUCCAGGAAGGAAGUGACAGAAGACGAAUGGGAAAAGGAGAGCCGCUCGCAGCCUUUGAAACAUCGCACAACAUCGCGAGCGGCGGCUCCUCGCUCUCCCCACGCUGCCGCUGAGAACGCUCGGAGAACCAUCUCCGGCUGCCGCGCGCUCGCUCCCCGGGGACUCUGCGAGCCAGCCAGCAGGAAAGUCCUUCUAAAGUCGGAAUCUUUCCUCUGACCAAUAGGAGCGCGACCCUAAUAGUUGCUCUCGUGACUUUUCCCCGGUUUGGAGACGUGUUAACCACUUCUUUCUUCCACCGGUCCGAGCGCUCCUCUGUUACUCACGCGUAGAAGCCACCGUCCAGGAUGUCUGCAGCACUCGAUUCCAGCGCGCUUUUCCUGCACGCCCAGAAUAGGCGGUUUUCGGCCCUGAAAGGCUGGAGGACUAAAAAGCGUGCCGAAAUACUUCUCAUGUGUUAGUAAUGUACAAAAUAAUAAAAUAAUUACCAGUA